CGUAUGGGAGUUGAGUGCAUUUGCAAGAAGCCCGCAAAGGUAGUUACUUCAAGAACCGCUAAAAAUCCGGGACGACUCUUUUAUUGUUGUCGAUUUCGCGAGGUAAUUGUCAGUAUAUUAAGACUUCGAACUCUUUGAGAAUUAUUUGGUGUUGAUUGUUUUUUUUUAAUUUUUUUCUUUUCUGGAAUUCGAUGGCAGUGUGAUUUCUUUCAAUGGGUUGAUGAAGGUUGUGGGUAUAUGGAGAAUUGCCCACAAGAGCUGAAGUUUUGGAUUGGAGAGAGUUUAAGACUGCGUACACAUGUUGACCAACUUUCACAGAGGAUUACAGAUUUGGAGGCAACGAAUGCUAAUUUGAAGGUGAAGAAAUCAAAGUUUCAGAGACAAGCAGCUUUGAUGCGCCUUGGAUGCAUUUUGUUGGCCGUUUGGCUCAUCUAUGUUCUUCUUUAAAU
RNAcentral lists this long non-coding RNA (449 nucleotides) under Salvia miltiorrhiza (redroot sage). RNAcentral's name for it is "long non-coding RNA (SMIL_LNC012541)". Lineage: Eukaryota; Viridiplantae; Streptophyta; Magnoliopsida; Lamiales; Lamiaceae. The record is from RNAcentral.